UACGUAGGGGGCUAGCGUUGUCCGGAUUUAUUGGGCGUAAAGAGCGUGUAGGCGGCCAGGUAGGUCUGGUGUGAAAACUCGAGGCUUAACCUCGAGAUGUCAUCGGAAACCAUCUGGCUAGAGUCCGGAAGAGGAGAGUGGAAUUCCUGGUGUAGCGGUGAAAUGCGCAGAUAUUAGGAAGAACACCCGUGGCUAAGGCGGCUCUCUAGUACGGUACUGACGCUGAGACGCGAAAGCGUGGGGAGCGAACAGG
This 253-nucleotide ribosomal RNA is filed under the name uncultured bacterium. RNAcentral's name for it is "partial 16S ribosomal RNA". It matches the Rfam family "Bacterial small subunit ribosomal RNA", at positions 524 to 776 of the family's 1533-position model. The record is from RNAcentral.